This 460-nucleotide ribosomal RNA is filed under the name uncultured bacterium. RNAcentral's name for it is "partial 16S ribosomal RNA". It matches the Rfam family "Bacterial small subunit ribosomal RNA", at positions 338 to 795 of the family's 1533-position model. The record is from RNAcentral.
CCUACGGGAGGCAGCAGUGAGGAAUAUUGGUCAAUGGACGAGAGUCUGAACCAGCCAAGUAGCGUGAAGGAUGACUGCCCUAUGGGUUGUAAACUUCUUUUAUAUGGGAAUAAAAUGUUCCACGUGUGGGAUUUUGUAUGUACCAUAUGAAUAAGGAUAGGCUAACUCCGUGCCAGCCGCCGCGGUAAUACGGAGGAUCCGAGCGUUAUCCGGAUUUAUUGGGUUUAAAGGGAGCGUAGGUGGAUUGUUAAGUCAGUUGUGAAAGUUUGCGGCUCAACCGUAGAAUUGCAGUUGAAACUGGCAGUCUUGAGUACAGGAGAGGUGGGCGGAAUUCGUGGUGUAGCGGUGAAAUGCUUAGAUAUCACGAAGAACUCCGAUUGCGAAGGCAGCUCACUGGACUGCAACUGACACUGAGGCUCGAAAGUGUGGGUAUCAAACAGGAUUAGAUACCCCUGUAGUC